RNAcentral lists this ribosomal RNA (434 nucleotides) under uncultured Lachnospiraceae bacterium. RNAcentral's name for it is "partial 16S ribosomal RNA". It matches the Rfam family "Bacterial small subunit ribosomal RNA", at positions 341 to 792 of the family's 1533-position model. Lineage: Bacteria; Bacillati; Bacillota; Clostridia; Lachnospirales; Lachnospiraceae. The record is from RNAcentral.
ACGGAAGGCAGCAGUGGGGAAUAUUGCACAAUGGGCGAAAGCCUGAUGCAGCGACGCCGCGUGAGUGAAGAAGUAUCUCGGUAUGUAAAGCUCUAUCAGCAGGGAAGAAAAUGACGGUACCUGACUAAGAAGCCCCGGCUAACUACGUGCCAGCAGCCGCGGUAAUACGUAGGGGGCAAGCGUUAUCCGGAUUUACUGGGUGUAAAGGGAGCGUAGACGGUUUGGCAAGUCUGAAGUGAAAUGCGGGGGCUCAACUCCUGAACUGCUUUGGAAACUGUCGAACUAGAGUGCAGGAGAGGUAAGUGGAAUUCCUAGUGUAGCGGCGAAAUGCGUAGAUAUUAGGAGGAACACCAGUGGCGAAGGCGGCUUACUGGACUGUAACUGACGUUGAGGCUCGAAAGCGUGGGGAGCAAACAGGAUUAGAUACCCUGGUA